GUCAGUCAUGUUUUUCCAUAGGAGAAGAGAGGAGGACAGACUUGAAUAGUCAACUGAAGGGGGGGGAAAGAAAAACCCAGUGUAUUUGACAGCUAUAGUUUAAUCCAAUGAAAACAGGUGGCCUCUUCAUUCAGACAAACCCUCCAUUGGGACAACCGGGCUUCAGAAUGCCCAUAGGUCUGACAUCAACCAACAAGGAAGUGUUUGUGAUCAGAUGGCUGAAAUAUUCAAGACUAGAGAAGAGAAGUAACUCUCAUUCGGUUCCUUUCCAGGUUCUUCCUCUGUCCAUUUCCAGGCUCCUCUUCUCCCCUCUCUCUGUCUACUCCUGGCUGGUCUCUGUGAUGGUUAAACUCGUCUUCUCCUCUCUGGCCAUCAUCCUGUCUUCUCUGUAUUACACUGUCCUGCUCCUGCUGGCCGGGCCCUGCUGUAUCGUCACCUUGUCUCUGUCUGUGGUAUUGUACUGUCUCCAUGUAGUUAUCUAUAUGGUUCACCUGGUGUUGGUGCUCUGUGCUCUGGCAGUGCUCGCUAUGACUCCACACAAAAUGGCUGACGUGAAUGGACCUAAAAUGGCCGCCGGUGCCACUGCUAAUGAACAAACGUUCUACGGCCAACUGAAACUGCAGCUCCAGGAUUCGGACAGAUCUGGGAUCAGUGUUGGG
Molecule: long non-coding RNA, 659 nt
Filed under: Salmo salar (Atlantic salmon)
Lineage: Eukaryota; Metazoa; Chordata; Actinopteri; Salmoniformes; Salmonidae
Description: lncRNA (ENSSSAG00000089401.1)
Source: RNAcentral